GCAGGACUUACGUUUGAUAGGUUGGGAAACUGAGGCAAAGGGACUCUGUACCCUGAGGGCAUAAAACCAACAAGGAACAGAGCUGGUGUGCUGGCCCGGGGUGAAUUGUCGAUUGAUUUGUUAUUUAUCCCACUGACAACAAAGCGAGCGAAAAGGUAAUAAUUCCAGGCCCUGGGGUAAUUCAAUUCCUGUAGCAUCGUCAGCUACAUUAACUUACUUCCUGGAUCUCAAUUCAAUUAGAGCAACAUUCCCCAGCAUUAAUAAAUCAAUACGCAUGCCAUU
Molecule: long non-coding RNA, 282 nt
Filed under: Rattus norvegicus (Norway rat)
Lineage: Eukaryota; Metazoa; Chordata; Mammalia; Rodentia; Muridae
Description: long non-coding RNA NONRATT023709
Source: RNAcentral